GGAAUUUUGCGCAAUGGGCGAAAGCCUGACGCAGCGACGCCGCGUGCGGGAUGAAGGCCUUCGGGUCGUAAACCGCUGUGGAGAGGGAAGAAGAUCUGACGGUACCUCUCUAGAAAGUGCCUGCUAACCACGUGCCAGAAGCCUCGGUGAUACGUGGGGCACAAGCGUUAUCCGGAUUUACUGGGCGUAAAGAGUCUCGUAGGCGGUUUGGUAAGUGAUUGGUGAAAUCCCCUGGCUCAACCAGGGAACUGCCAGUCAUACUAUCAGACUAGAGUUAUUUCGGGGAAGUUGGAAUUCUCGGUGUAGGGGUGAAAUCCGUUGAUAUCGAGAAGAACACCAAGGGCGAAGGCAGACUUCCAGGAAUUUACUGACGCUGAUGAACGAAAGCUAGGGGAGCGAACGGGAUUAGAGACCCCGGUAGUCCUAGCCGUAAACAAUGUCCACUAGUUACUUCCCGUUCAGGGAGGCGACGUAAGCUAACGCGUUAAGUGGACCGCCUGGGGAGUACGGCCGCAAGGCUAAAACUCAAAGGAAUUGGCGGGGAAAUGCACAACCAGGGGAGCAUGUGGUUUAAUUCGAUACGAAGCGUUGAACCUUACCUGGGCUUGACAUCUAUUUGACGACUUUAAGAAAUUAAGGUUUUCCGCAAGGACAAAUAGACAGCUGCUGCAUGGCUGUCGUAAGCUCGUACCGUGAGGCGUCGACUUCAGUGUCGUAACGAGCGCAACCCCUUUUUCGUGUUAAAUAGUCACGAAAGACUGCCUGGCCACAAGUCGGGAGGAAGGAGGGGAUGACGUCAAGUCAGCACGGCGCUUACGCCCAGGGCAACACACAUCCUACAAUGGUGAGGGGCAAUGGGUUGCGAAACCGCAAGGUGGAGCCAAUCCCAAAAACCCUCCCUCAGUUCAGAUUGCGGGCUGAAACUCGCCCGCAUGAAGUUGGACUUGGUAGUAAUCGCGGAUCAUCAGACCGCGGUGAAUACGUUCUCAUUUCUUGCACACACCGCCCGUCACAUGAGGAGAGUCGGCAGCGCCCGAAGUACCCUUUUUGGGUCCUAAGGCGAGGUCGGUAAUCAGCGUGAAGUCGUAACAAGGUAUCCGUUCUGGAAGGAGCGGAUGGAUCACCUCCUUUCUA
RNAcentral lists this ribosomal RNA (1134 nucleotides) under Candidatus Beckwithbacteria bacterium CG_4_10_14_0_2_um_filter_47_25. RNAcentral describes it as "bacterial SSU rRNA". It matches the Rfam family "Bacterial small subunit ribosomal RNA", at positions 358 to 1533 of the family's 1533-position model. The record is from RNAcentral. Lineage: Bacteria; Candidatus Beckwithiibacteriota.